UGAGAAGAGGAAAAAGUCUAGAAUUUGAUGGUCGCAUUGCUGAUGUAGUGUCUUCAGCUAAUCAAAAUGCACCUUUCGAUUUUACUCAUUUUAUCAUGAUUUUUAGAAAAAUAUUUUUGUUGUACAUUUAUUCCAAAAAAGAGAUAUAAUUUAUUGGUUAUGGAUGAUGUGGUGUGAUUGCUAUAUAGUAGACUUUCUUGUGAGAAGAGAGGAUAUGUAUUUGUUUUGAUUUGAAAGUUUAUAAGACUGUAUAUUAAAUAUGCUAUCAGUAACAAUCAUUUAAAAAUCAAGUUGAACCAACCGGUUUGACAGGUCCGACCAUGACCAGGUCAAUAAAGCGGUUCGGUUCAACCUGUAGCACACUAAACUUUUACAAACUGCAGAGAGGAAUAGCAUUUAAUACUAUCAUGGACGCUUUGGCCGAGUUUAGAGAGUUUGGGAGUAUUUUCGAUGCCUAAUUGGCACGAAGAUGGAUUUCAGUGACAAAAUUUGUAAAAACUAUAAUUUUGGUAUUACGUACUUGUACUAAUUAUGGUGUGCUGGAACCCAGUAGGAGGCUAGGUUGAACAGCUCUCGGAUUUUGCAGAACUCACUCGGAUAUCAAUACUAAUACGUGUACCGGUACUAAUUAAUAUGGGCGUUAACGGAACACAGUAGAAAGCUGCUGCGACUAACGUUUGGAUUUUGCGGAACCGAUUUUGGGUACCGAAACUAAGAGGCUGUGUACCGAUACCUACAUUCUUGUACCGGUACUCAAUGAUGAAGAAU
Molecule: long non-coding RNA, 768 nt
Filed under: Ananas comosus (pineapple)
Lineage: Eukaryota; Viridiplantae; Streptophyta; Magnoliopsida; Poales; Bromeliaceae
Description: long non-coding RNA (ACOM_LNC016764)
Source: RNAcentral